This 84-nucleotide transfer RNA is filed under the name Centruroides sculpturatus (bark scorpion). Its description in RNAcentral is "tRNA-Leu". It matches the Rfam family "tRNA". From Rfam's summary of the family: Transfer RNA (tRNA) molecules are approximately 80 nucleotides in length. Their secondary structure includes four short double-helical elements and three loops (D, anti-codon, and T loops). The record is from RNAcentral. Lineage: Eukaryota; Metazoa; Arthropoda; Arachnida; Scorpiones; Buthidae.
GUCAGAAUGGCUGAGUGGUCUAAGGCGCCAGACUUAAGAUCUGGUCCUCGUAUGAGGGCGUGGGUUCGAACCCCACUUCUGACA